AAUAGAUACCCGGGUAGUCCACGCCGUAAACGAUGAGUGCUAAGUGUUGGGGGGGUUUCCGCCCCUCAGUGCUGCAGCUAACGCAUUAAGCACUCCGCCUGGGGGAGUACGGUCGCAAGACUGAAACUCAAAGGAAUUGACGGGGGCCCGCACAAGCGGUGGAGCAUGUGGUUUAAUUCGAAGCAACGCGAAGAACCUUACCAGGUCUUGACAUCCCGGUGACCACUAUGGAGACAUAGUUUCCCCUUCGGGGGCAACGGUGACAGGUGGUGCAUGGUUGUCGUCAGCUCGUGUCGUGAGAUGUUGGGUUAAGUCCCGCAACGAGCGCAACCCUUAUUCUUAGUUGCCAUCAUUCAGUUGGGCACUCUAAGGAGACUGCCGUACAAAUACGGAGGAAGGUGGGGAUGACGUCAAAUCAUCAUGCCCCUUAUGACCUGGGCUACACACGUGCUACAAUGGACGGUACAAACGGUUGCGAAGUCGCGAGACGGAGCCAAUCCGAGAAAGCCGUUCUCAGUUCGGAUUGCAGG
Molecule: ribosomal RNA, 530 nt
Filed under: uncultured bacterium
Lineage: Bacteria
Description: bacterial SSU rRNA
Rfam family: Bacterial small subunit ribosomal RNA
Source: RNAcentral